CAGCCCCUCCAGCCUGCUCUGCCCUGCUCCCCAUGCACACCCUGGGCUUGGGCUUCUCCCAAAUGGAACCCACCCGAUUCUCCAGCGGCCCAUCCUGCUCCCCCCAGGGCUAUGCACGUUCUGUGCCUCUGCUCAGAGCAUGCCCCCUCCCCACCUUGGCCUGGCCAACUCCUGCUCAUCCCCAGGACUCCUUUAGAUGCCAUCUCGUCAAGGAAGACCCCUGCAUGCUCCAGUCAGCCACGACAAGGGGCUGUCUGCAAGCCAAGAAGAGGAGACUUCUCACCAGAAACCGAACCCUGCUGGAAACUUCAUCUUGGACUUUCUAGCCUCCAGAAUGGUCUGGAAACAAAUGUCAGUUGUGGAUGUGUCCCCAACCCCCCGCACCGCACGCCCAGUGCUGGCCAGUCAGGCACUGGAGUCCCAGGCAUUGAAGAAAGCACAGACACCCACCUGAUACGCAAAACCCACACUAAACCAUAAAAUAAAGGCGAGAAAAUCCAAUAAAGUUCUACUUUUUUCCCUA
Neomonachus schauinslandi (Hawaiian monk seal) is the source of this 523-nucleotide long non-coding RNA. RefSeq lists it as uncharacterized. The record is from RefSeq and is a predicted model, not a curated record. The transcript is spliced from 2 exons. NCBI's taxonomy places the organism in Eukaryota, Metazoa, Chordata, Mammalia, Carnivora, Phocidae.